Molecule: transfer RNA, 72 nt
Filed under: Camelus bactrianus (Bactrian camel)
Lineage: Eukaryota; Metazoa; Chordata; Mammalia; Artiodactyla; Camelidae
Also listed under: 1 other name
Rfam family: tRNA
About the family: Transfer RNA (tRNA) molecules are approximately 80 nucleotides in length.
Source: Rfam by way of RNAcentral
GAGGAUAUAGCUCAGUGGUAGAGCACAUGCUUAGCAUGCACAAGGUCCUGAGUUCAACCCCCAGUACCAUCA